RNAcentral lists this ribosomal RNA (362 nucleotides) under uncultured bacterium. RNAcentral's name for it is "partial 16S ribosomal RNA". It matches the Rfam family "Bacterial small subunit ribosomal RNA", at positions 338 to 692 of the family's 1533-position model. The record is from RNAcentral.
CCUACGGGAGGCAGCAGUGGGGAAUAUUGCGCAAUGGGCGAAAGCCUGACGCAGCGACGCCGCGUGAGGGAUUAAGGUCCUCGGAUCGUAAACCCCUGUCAGUAGGGAAGAACGGUCACUGUGCUAAUCCGCAGUGAAUUGACGGUACCUGCAAAGUACGCACCGGCUCACUCCUUACCAGCAGCCGCGGUAAUACGGGGGGUGCGGGCCUUAAUCGGAAUUACUGGGAGUAAGUCGCUCGUGGGCGGUAUGUCAAGUCAAGGGUGAAAUCCCCGCGCUCAACGUGGGAACUGCGAGUGAAACGGGAAAACAGGAGGGUGUGGGAGGAUAGUGGAAUGGCAGGGGUAGGGGUGAAAGCGGUA